AGCGGGUUAGCUCAUCGGGAAGAGCGGUCAGAAGCGCGCGAUAAUACAGCUGACAGGCGAAUGGUUCGAUUCCAUUACCCGCUA
Molecule: transfer RNA, 84 nt
Filed under: Caudoviricetes sp.
Lineage: Duplodnaviria; Heunggongvirae; Uroviricota; Caudoviricetes
Description: tRNA-OTHER
Source: RNAcentral